UGCGGAGAGUAGAAUCAUGGAGGCCGCCACAUUGUUUAUGAAACUUAAAGCGUUUGGUUGUGAGCCUAAUGUCAUUACAUACACCACUUUGAUUAAUGGAUUGUGUCGAACAGGCCAUACAAUUGUUGCUCUAAAUUUAUUUGAAGAGAUGGCUAAUGGAAAUGGGGAAUUUGCUGUUGUUUGUAAGCCAGACACUGCUACAUACAGUACUAUUAUCGAUGGUCUUUGUAAGGAAGGUUUUGUGGACAAGGCCAAGGAACUGUUUCUGCAGAUGAAGGAUAACAAUAUUAACCCUAACAUGGUUACCUAUACCUCUGUGAUUCGUGGUUUUUGUUAUGCUAAUGAUUGGAAUGAGACCAAGUGUUUGCUAAUUGAGAUGAUGGACCAAGGGGUACAGCCUAAUGUUGUGACUUUCAAUGUCAUCAUGGAUGAGCUCUGCAAGAAUGGAAAGAUGGAUGAGGCAAGUCGGUUGUUGGACCUGAUGAUUCAGUUUGGUGUGCGUCCAAAUGCUUUUGUCUAUAACACAUUAAUGGACGGGUUUUGCUUGACGGGUAGAGUUAAUCGUGCGAAGGAACUAUUUGUUUCUAUGGAGAGUAUGGGUUGCAAACAUACUGUUUUUAGUUAUAGUAUUUUGAUAAAUGGUUACUGCAAGAAUAAGGAAAUAGAGGGAGCGUUAACCCUUUAUAGCGAAAUGCUCUCUAAAGGAAUUAAGCCAGAUGUUGUUAUAUAUAACACCUUGUUUAUUGGCCUUUUUGAAAUACACCAGGUUGAGCGUGCUUUCAAGCUGUUUGAUGAGAUGCAAUGUGAUGGCGUGGCAGCUGAUACCUGGGCAUAUACAACCUUUAUUGAUGGGCUCUGCAAGAAUGGUUAUAUUGUAGAGGCAGUUGAACUAUUUCGUACUUUGAGAAUUCUCAAGUGUGAACUUGAUAUUCGAGCCUACAACUGCCUCAUUGAUGGAUUAUGUAAAUCCGGCAGACUCGAAAUUGCAUGGGAACUGUUUCUGAAGAUGAAGGAUGAGAAUAUUAACCCCAAUGUGGUUACUUAUACCUCUUUGAUUCACGGUUUUUGUUACGCUAAUGAUUGGAAUGAGGCGAAGUGUUUGUUUAUUGAGAUGAUGGACCAAGGGGUACAACCUAAUGUUGUGACUUUCAAUGUGAUCAUGGAUGAGCUCUGCAAGAAUGGAAAGAUGGAUAAAGCAAGUCGGUUGCUGGACCUGAUGAUUCAGAUUGGUGUGCGUCCAGAUGCUUCUGUCUAUAACACAUUAAUGGAUGGGUUUUGCUUGACGGGUAGAGUUAACCGUGCGAAGGAACUAUUUGUUUCUAUGGAGAGUAUGGGUUGCAAACAUAAUGUUUUUAGUUACAGUAUUUUGAUAAAUGGUUACUGCAAGAAUAAGGAAAUAGAGGAAGCGUUAAGCCUUUAUAGCGAAAUGCUCUCUAAAGGAAUUAAGCCAACAGUUGUUACAUAUAGCACCUUGUUUCUUGGACUUUUUGAAAUACACCAGGUUCAGCAUGCUUUAAAACUGUUUGAUGAGAUGCAGCGUAAUCAUGUGGCAGCUAAUACAUAUAUAUAAACUACCUUUAUUGACGGGCUCUGCAAGAAUGGUUUUGUUCUAGAGGCACUGGAAUUAUUCCGUGCUAUAAGAAAUAGCAAGUAUGAGCUUAAUAUCGUAUCCUACAACUGCCUCAUUGAUGGAUUGUGUAAAAUAGGCAAACUGGAAACUGCUUGGGAACUGUUUCAAAGUUUGCCUCGUGUAGGCCUAAUGGCAGAUGUUGUAACAUACAACAUCAUGAUCCAUGGGCUUUGUAAUGAUGGGCAAAUGGACAAGGCACAUGAUUUGUUUCUUGAUAUGGAAGCAAAAGGUGUGGAACCCGAUUGUGUCAUAUUUAAUAUGAUUAUGCUGGGUUUCAUCCGCAAUAAUGAGACAUCAAAAGUUAUUGAACUCCUUCACAGAAUGGAUAAGAGAAAUGUAAUGCCAGACGCAUCUAUACUUUCAAUUGUUGUGGACUUGCUUGUAAAGAAUGAAAUUAGCUUAAACUCGAUUCCACAAUUCAAGAGUCAAAGGUAAGUGAGUUUAAUACUGAUUUAGCCACAUGUUUCUUCUGCCUGAAAACCCAACCUGGAGGAUCCCAUUCUUAUUACAACAUGUAAAGGAGUGUUGUCUAAUAUAGGCAUGUUCCUAGGUUCUGUCCAUGGAUUCUGUUUGCAGACAUGGCUAACUUCUUGUUCAACAGAAAGUUUUAAAGUCUUUCAACUUUAUGUUGUAAAAUAACUUUUUUAUUAUUCAAUUCAUGAGUUUUUCUUCUAUAACACAUCCUUCUCAUUAGCUGGAAGUGCAAAUUUUUUAGGCUUUUCCUGUAUGGCCUCUUUCUCUGCUCUAAAUAAA
RNAcentral lists this long non-coding RNA (2383 nucleotides) under Citrus maxima (pomelo). RNAcentral describes it as "long non-coding RNA (CMAX_LNC003366)". The record is from RNAcentral. Lineage: Eukaryota; Viridiplantae; Streptophyta; Magnoliopsida; Sapindales; Rutaceae.